UACGUAGGGGGCAAGCGUUGUCCGGAUUUAUUGGGCGUAAAGAGCGUGUAGGCGGCCAGACAGGUCCGUUGUGAAAACUCGAGGCUCAACCUCGAGAUGUCGAUGGAAACCGUCUGGCUAGAGUCCGGAAGAGGAGUGUGGAAUCCUGGUGUAGCGGUGAAAUGCGCAGAUAUCAGGAAGAACACCUAUGGCGAAGGCAGCACUCUGGGACGGUACUGACGCUGAGACGCGAAAGCGUGGGGAGCGAACAGGAU
RNAcentral lists this ribosomal RNA (254 nucleotides) under uncultured bacterium. RNAcentral's name for it is "partial 16S ribosomal RNA". It matches the Rfam family "Bacterial small subunit ribosomal RNA", at positions 524 to 778 of the family's 1533-position model. The record is from RNAcentral.